Molecule: unclassified non-coding RNA, 934 nt
Filed under: Hevea brasiliensis (rubber tree)
Lineage: Eukaryota; Viridiplantae; Streptophyta; Magnoliopsida; Malpighiales; Euphorbiaceae
Source: RNAcentral
UUAGGAAAAGGUACAGUAGCUUACGCGUUGAUUAUUGCCUAAUGUGGUUCAUAUUUAUGACAGCAUGACGAAGUUACAUAUUUACAAGUCCGAUGUUUUCAAGAAAAUGAAACUUAUCUAACUUACAAUUUCUUUUAUUUCUCAUCUCCACAGGACCAAACUGAGGAAGGUAGCGGCAAGACCAUGGAACAAAAGUUCCAAACUCGAAACAUUUUAGCCUUCUUACUGCCCUACUUGAUUAACAGACAUGUCGUAUCGCCCUCCGGUCAUCCUCUCUGCUCUUUCUCCACGUUCGCCUGUACGAAUUCUAAUCACGUCUGAGAUGGGUAUCACAAAAAUUUUGCCAUCACCAAUUUCACCAGUUCUUGCCUCCUCAAUUAUCUUGUCAAUGACAGCUUCAACCUGGUCUUUAACUACCACAAUUUCCAUCUUAACUUUAGCGACAAAGUUGUCUUCAGAAAAUUCAGACCCACCAUGCCUCUCUGUAGAUCCACCUUGAGAACCAAAGCCCUUCACGUCAGAUACCGUUACACCUCGAAUACCCAUUUUCAGCAAUGCCGAAGAAACAUUUUGGAUUCUCCAUGGCCUGAGGAUGGCCUCCACUUUGUAGAAUUUGGAAUCAGGAACAUAAUCGAGAGAGCCUUGGGCGGCCUUGACCAGAGGGAGGAUUUGGCGAUUGGAAGGCUUGUUGGCGAGGUUGAACUGAGAGAAUCUGAGGGCGGUGAAGUUGGGAGUGAUAAAAGCAGAAGAGGUGAAGUGAUGGAAGUGUGGAAGAGGAGAAUGAAGAGGAGGAAGAAGAAGAGCGGUAGGGUUCGUUGUGAUUGCCGCCAUGGAAGCUGGGAUUUGAGAAUCAGAGAGGAAGCAGAAUGACGAUGACGAGCCGAUCGGUAGCCUCGUAGUUCACGUUGGAAUUUCCGCUUCAAUCGCCGGCCGG